CGUUCCCGGGCCUUGUACACACCGCCCGUCACACCAUGGGAGUUGGUUUACCGAAGGUAGUGCGCUAACCGCAGGGAGGCAGCUAACCACGGUAGGGUCAGCGACCGGGGUG
RNAcentral lists this ribosomal RNA (112 nucleotides) under uncultured bacterium. Its description in RNAcentral is "partial 16S ribosomal RNA". It matches the Rfam family "Bacterial small subunit ribosomal RNA", at positions 1369 to 1482 of the family's 1533-position model. The record is from RNAcentral.